This 497-nucleotide ribosomal RNA is filed under the name uncultured bacterium. RNAcentral describes it as "partial 16S ribosomal RNA". It matches the Rfam family "Bacterial small subunit ribosomal RNA", at positions 28 to 507 of the family's 1533-position model. The record is from RNAcentral.
GAUGAACGCUGGCGGCGUGCCUAAUACAUGCAAGUCGAGCGAACGGACGAGAAGCUUGCUUCUCUGAUGUUAGCGGCGGACGGGUGAGUAACACGUGGAUAACCUACCUAUAAGACUGGGAUAACUUCGGGAAACCGGAGCUAAUACCGGAUAAUAUUUUGAACCGCAUGGUUCAAAAGUGAAAGACGGUCUUUCUGUCACUUAUAGAUGGAUCUGCGCUGCAUUAGCUAGUUGGUAAGGAAACGGCUUACCAAGGCAACCAUGCAUAGCCGACCUGAGAGGGUGAUCGGCCACACUGGAACUGAGACAGGGUCCAGAGUCCUACGGGAGGCAGCAGUAGGGAAUCUUCCGCAAUGGGCGAAAGCCUGACGGAGCAACGCCGCGUGAGUGAUGAAGGUCUUCGGAUCGUAAAACUCUGUUAUUAGGGAAGAACAUAUGUGUAAGUAACUGUGCACAUCUUGACGGUACCUAAUCAGAAAGCAACGGCUAACUACGUG